AGUGGACAGGCAUAUUACAUACACGAUGGUGAAAAUGUCGUAUUUUCCGAAUGGAUAGUCCCUUUAGUAUGUAUUGAACACACAUUUAGCUUUAAUUGAACAUACAUGCCCUAUUCAAUUAGUUAACUAAAAGACUGUACUAACUAAUUGAAGUCCAAUGCACAUUAAUUACUGAAUUAUCUAACAUUGAACUUAAAAUCUGUCCUUUUCUCCUAGCAUAUUCCAAAAUUCCACUGGCUUUAAGGAAGUUUUGCAUGUGCAUAUCUAUGGAGUUUGGCCCUUAUUAUUUUAAGAGAAUUUAGCUAAGAGGUAUCUCAUAGUGCAUGAAAACUUCUACUAUUAGUAUCUGGGAGAUGGUUUAUAGCCAUUGGUUAAUUCUCUGUUAUGCUAUCUGCUGCAGCACAAAAGAGAAGGCCAUUUAGAGUCACAUCUUAAAAGAUAAAAUGAGGCAACAUUAUAACCAGCAGGCUGGGAUUUUAGGAACUUGCUUAAGUUUUGAUCUUGCAAUGCCAACACAGAAAAGACUUCCAGAAAGCUGACUUCAGGAGAACUAUGGGCCUGUAUCUAAUUAUAGUUAAGUAUUCCUAUCUCAGUCACUGGCUCCUUGGAAAUAGCAUUGUUUCCUGUUCACCAUCCAAUUCAAUUUGAAGGGUGUGAGGUGGACACCAAAGUAGUUGUGGGUUUCAAUUGCAUUUCUUACUACCAGUAUUGAUAGGAAGAUUAACUGGAAAAGUUUAGAUAUAUUUUAUCAAUAUUCAUUUGUCCAUUUUCAUGCUUCAUAGACACCCUCAAAUCAAUACAAAUUCUCUGUUAUUCUUUUCUCUUACACCCUUUCUAGUUUGAAAAAUUAGGCUAUAGGAAACCCUGGAUACAUAUUCCUGUUCUCCUGGUUCACAUAGCAGCCACUGUGAUGGAGUAUCUGCACCUGGCACUAAAGCCAGUUUUUAUCUUUACACCUUUCUUGACAAGGAAUGAGGUAUGGAACGUUACUGUAACUCACACUUUCCGAAUAGAUAAAGCACGAAAUCAACUUGGUUACAAACCAAAGAAAUUCUCAUUAGCUGAUUCUGUGGAUCAUUAUCUUAAAACAAGACCUAUUUGCCAAGAAGAUCACACAUUCCUUAAAAUGUUGUUUGCUUUUGGCCUUUUAUUAAGUUUGAUGAUUCUUUAUUUCUUCUAA
This 1180-nucleotide long non-coding RNA is filed under the name Anas platyrhynchos (mallard). Its description in RNAcentral is "lncRNA (ENSAPLG00020008816.1)". The record is from RNAcentral. Lineage: Eukaryota; Metazoa; Chordata; Aves; Anseriformes; Anatidae.